RNAcentral lists this ribosomal RNA (253 nucleotides) under uncultured bacterium. RNAcentral describes it as "partial 16S ribosomal RNA". It matches the Rfam family "Bacterial small subunit ribosomal RNA", at positions 524 to 776 of the family's 1533-position model. The record is from RNAcentral.
UACGUAGGGUGCGAGCGUUGUCCGGAAUUACUGGGCGUAAAGAGCUCGUAGGUGGUUUGUCGCGUUGUUCGUGAAAACUCACAGCUUAACUGUGGGCGUGCGGGCGAUACGGGCAGACUGGAGUACUGCAGGGGAGACUGGAAUUCCUGGUGUAGCGGUGGAAUGCGCAGAUAUCAGGAGGAACACCGGUGGCGAAGGCGGGUCUCUGGGCAGUAACUGACGCUGAGGAGCGAAAGCGUGGGGAGCGAGCAGG